AAGGGUAUAGUUUAAAAGGCAAAACUGUAAGCUUCAACCUUACACUUCUUAGUUCAAGUCUGAGUGCUCUUG
Molecule: transfer RNA, 72 nt
Filed under: Aspergillus flavus
Lineage: Eukaryota; Fungi; Ascomycota; Eurotiomycetes; Eurotiales; Aspergillaceae
Also listed under: 1 other name
Description: tRNA-Trp
Rfam family: tRNA
About the family: Transfer RNA (tRNA) molecules are approximately 80 nucleotides in length. Their secondary structure includes four short double-helical elements and three loops (D, anti-codon, and T loops). Further hydrogen bonds mediate the characteristic L-shaped molecular structure. tRNAs have two regions of fundamental functional importance: the anti-codon, which is responsible for specific mRNA codon recognition, and the 3' end, to which the tRNAs corresponding amino acid is attached (by aminoacyl-tRNA synthetases). tRNAs cope with the degeneracy of the genetic code in two manners: having more than one tRNA (with a specific anti-codon) for a particular amino acid; and 'wobble' base-pairing, i.e. permitting non-standard base-pairing at the 3rd anti-codon position.
Source: RNAcentral